This 521-nucleotide ribosomal RNA is filed under the name Stenotrophomonas sp. MR-CH-I17. RNAcentral describes it as "partial 16S ribosomal RNA". It matches the Rfam family "Bacterial small subunit ribosomal RNA", at positions 107 to 624 of the family's 1533-position model. Lineage: Bacteria; Pseudomonadati; Pseudomonadota; Gammaproteobacteria; Lysobacterales; Lysobacteraceae. The record is from RNAcentral.
UGAGGAAUACAUCGGAAUCUACUCUGUCGUGGGGGAUAACGUAGGGAAACUUACGCUAAUACCGCAUACNACCUACGGGUGAAAGCAGGGGAUCUUCGGACCUUGCGCGAUUGAAUGAGCCGAUGUCGGAUUANCUAGUUGGNGGGGUAAAGGCCCNCCAAGGCGACNAUCCGUAGCUGGNCUGAGAGGAUGAUCANCCNCACUGGAACUGAGACACGGUCCANACUCCUACGGGAGGCNGCAGUGGGGAAUAUUGGACAAUGGGCGCAAGCCUGAUCCANCCAUACCGCGUGGGUGAANAANGCCUUCGGGUUGUAAAGCCCUUUUGUUGGGAAAGAAAUCCANCNGGCUAAUACCNGGUUGGGAUGACGGUACCCAAAGAAUAAGCACCGGCUAACUUCNUGCCANCAGCCGCGGUAAUACNAAGGGNGCNAGCGUUACUCGNAAUUACUGGGCGUAAAGCGUGCGUAGGUGGNCGUUUAAGUCCGUUGUGAAAGCCCUGGGCUCAACCUGGGAACUGC